GACGAACGCUGGCGGCGUGCUUAACACAUGCAAGUCGAACGGAAAGGCCCUGCUUUUGUGGGGUGCUCGAGUGGCGAACGGGUGAGUAACACGUGAGUAACCUGCCCUGGACUUUGGGAUAACUGCAGGAAACUGGUGCUAAUACCGGAUAGGAGCGCCUGCUGCAGGGUGGGGUUUGGAAAGUUUCGGCGGUUGGGGAUGGACUCGCGGGUUAUCAGCUUGUUGGGGGGGUAGUGGCUUACCAAGGCUUUGAAGGGUAGCCGGCCUGAGAGGGUGACCGGCCACCUUGGGACUGAGGUACGGCCCAGACUCCAAUGGGAGGCAGUAGUGGGGAAUAUUGCACAAUGGGCGGACGCCUGAUGCAGAAACGUCGCGUGCGGGAUGACGGCCUUCGGGUUGUAAACCGCUUUAGCCUGUGACGAAGCGUGAGUGACGGUAAUGGGUAAAGAAGCACCGGCUAACUACGUG
This 468-nucleotide ribosomal RNA is filed under the name uncultured bacterium. Its description in RNAcentral is "partial 16S ribosomal RNA". It matches the Rfam family "Bacterial small subunit ribosomal RNA", at positions 28 to 507 of the family's 1533-position model. The record is from RNAcentral.